RNAcentral lists this ribosomal RNA (467 nucleotides) under uncultured Acidobacteriota bacterium. RNAcentral's name for it is "bacterial SSU rRNA". It matches the Rfam family "Bacterial small subunit ribosomal RNA", at positions 43 to 526 of the family's 1533-position model. Lineage: Bacteria; Pseudomonadati; Acidobacteriota. The record is from RNAcentral.
CAGGCCUAACACAUGCAAGUCGAACGAGAAAGUGGAGCAAUCCAUGAGUAAAGUGGCGACCGGGUGAGUAACACGUGACUAACCUACCUUCGAGUGGGGGAUAACCUAGGGAAACCUGGGCUAAUACCGCAUAACAUCUUUGGAUCGGAAGAACUGGAGAUCAAAGGGGCAAUUCGCUUGAAGAGGGGGUCGCGGCUGAUUAGCUAGUUGGCGGGGUAAUGGCCCACCAAGGCUUUGAUCGGUAGCCGGCCUGAGAGGGCGCACGGCCACACUGGAACUGAAACACGGUCCAGACUCCUACGGGAGGCAGCAGUGGGGAAUUUUGCGCAAUGGGGGAAACCCUGACGCAGCAACGCCGCGUGGAGGAUGAAGUCCCUUGGGACGUAAACUCCUUUCGAUCGGGACGAUUAUGACGGUACCGGAAGAGGAAGCACCGGCUAACUCUGUGCCAGCAGCCGCGGUAAUAC